GUCAGGUUUGAGACGACUCUGUUUAUUGCUAAUUUUUUUCUUGAUUCUGGAAACUGCGUAACCGAACUAGCCAAUACAGUUGGUAAAGAGUCUCAAUAUCAGAAAUUAUUGAAGUAACACACUUUUGCCAGGUUAGAUAGAACAUGUCUUUUAUGUUUCAAAAGUGGCUCGCAUAUCUUUAUUGUUAUACAAGUGACCCAAAUGUACCCAUCCAAUAUGAAAAUAAAAUGGUGAAUGAUUUCAUUCCAAUUAUCUGGUGAAAUCAGAAAUUUUACUUGUUUAUUCUCUUUUG
RNAcentral lists this unclassified non-coding RNA (292 nucleotides) under Hevea brasiliensis (rubber tree). The record is from RNAcentral. Lineage: Eukaryota; Viridiplantae; Streptophyta; Magnoliopsida; Malpighiales; Euphorbiaceae.